UACGGAGGGUGCAAGCGUUAUCCGGAUUUACUGGGUUUAAAGGGUGCGUAGGUGGGCGAAUAAGUCAGUGGUGAAAUCUUCGAGCUUAACUCGGAAACUGCCAUUGAUACUAUUUGUCUUGAAUUAUCUGGAGGUAAGCGGAAUAUGUCAUGUAGCGGUGAAAUGCUUAGAUAUGACAUAGAACACCCAUUGCGAAGGCAGCUUACUACGGAUUGAUUGACACUGAGGCACGAAAGCGUGGGGAUCAAACAGG
This 253-nucleotide ribosomal RNA is filed under the name uncultured bacterium. Its description in RNAcentral is "partial 16S ribosomal RNA". It matches the Rfam family "Bacterial small subunit ribosomal RNA", at positions 524 to 776 of the family's 1533-position model. The record is from RNAcentral.